GAUUAUGCUGAGCUCCUAAACCACUUCCUCCUACCACUGAGACCAGGGACAGACAUUAGUCCCAUUUGUAACCUUUCUGGGAAGAUAAAUGGGUGUCCACCUCCACUUCUUAUUCCCUCUUUCUUGAGAGAACAGCUGAGUCACCACAAGGAAGCUGUUACCUCCCCAGGUCAUCAAUAAAUCACUUUUUCCCAACACCAUCACCACCCCUGGGCAAAGAGUGAUCAGGAACUGUGACUCACAGGUGUGUGGGCCUGAAUCUCAACAGCUCUGUGAGCUUCUCCUACAAGGAUUUGUUUGUGUAGGGACUCAAAAAGCCUUGCCUAAAGUCACAGGUGGCCCACUGGAAGGACCUUACCCCUGGAUGCCAUAUUCCCAUCACAAGGUGAUUCAGAGAUAAUUCUUGCACCUAAACUACCUUGCUCCAUAUGGAUAAAGGAAUUCUUCAUGAGUCCAUACUCUGAGGGAACAGAGGCACAGUUUUAAUCCUGACACAGCACUAUAAAAGAAUUCCAGACAGCUACCUCAGAUAGUGUGCUAGAUGGAUGGAUCUUGCUGUGGAAAGACUGACACUCAAGCCCUGAGGAAGAGCAAGGAUAUACAGUUUGUGGAAGUAAUUUAACACUGAAGAGAGUCGUGUAUUUGACACUGUACUAUGUGAUAGCACCAUAUUCUGAGAGCAGGAACUGUCACGAGCCAGCCUCUGCCAGAUCCCAUCUCUGCACCCAGGACCUGACAAGAAUUAAAUAAGAAGUAAAGCUCAGGUGUCCUCUGCACUCAGAAGUGCAUAGACCCUGCUGUGCCCUACCAUGAUCCACUGUUUGCAACGAGAAACAAACAGAGACACGUGAAGAGGCGGGGAUGGCUUUUCUGAAGAGUGAUACCUCUGACCAGAGUCCAGGCUGGAGGUACUGAGAUAAAUCUAGUCCUGGGCUUUCCCACUGACAGUGUCUCCAGAACUGCUGGGGUGGCACUGAGAUGCUGCUGCUCUUCACACCAAGUCUCUCAAAAGAGAAGAAAA
Passer domesticus (house sparrow) is the source of this 1021-nucleotide long non-coding RNA. RefSeq lists it as uncharacterized. The transcript is spliced from 3 exons. The record is from RefSeq and is a predicted model, not a curated record. NCBI's taxonomy places the organism in Eukaryota, Metazoa, Chordata, Aves, Passeriformes, Passeridae.